This 1421-nucleotide ribosomal RNA is filed under the name Streptococcus sp. enrichment culture clone H2-2. RNAcentral describes it as "bacterial SSU rRNA". It matches the Rfam family "Bacterial small subunit ribosomal RNA". Lineage: Bacteria; Bacillati; Bacillota; Bacilli; Lactobacillales; Streptococcaceae. The record is from RNAcentral.
UGCAAGUAGAACGCUGAAGAGAGGAGCUUGCUCUUCUUGGAUGAGUUGCGAACGGGUGAGUAACGCGUAGGUAACCUGCCUUGUAGCGGGGGAUAACUAUUGGAAACGAUAGCUAAUACCGCAUAACAAUGGAUGACACAUGUCAUUUAUUUGAAAGGGGCAAUUGCUCCACUACAAGAUGGACCUGCGUUGUAUUAGCUAGUAGGUGAGGUAAUGGCUCACCUAGGCGACGAUACAUAGCCGACCUGAGAGGGUGAUCGGCCACACUGGGACUGAGACACGGCCCAGACUCCUACGGGAGGCAGCAGUAGGGAAUCUUCGGCAAUGGGGGCAACCCUGACCGAGCAACGCCGCGUGAGUGAAGAAGGUUUUCGGAUCGUAAAGCUCUGUUGUAAGUCAAGAACGGGUGUGAGAGUGGAAAGUUCACACUGUGACGGUAGCUUACCAGAAAGGGACGGCUAACUACGUGCCAGCAGCCGCGGUAAUACGUAGGUCCCGAGCGUUGUCCGGAUUUAUUGGGCGUAAAGCGAGCGCAGGCGGUUUGAUAAGUCUGAAGUUAAAGGCUGUGGCUCAACCAUAGUUCGCUUUGGAAACUGUCAAACUUGAGUGCAGAAGGGGAGAGUGGAAUUCCAUGUGUAGCGGUGAAAUGCGUAGAUAUAUGGAGGAACACCGGUGGCGAAAGCGGCUCUCUGGUCUGUAACUGACGCUGAGGCUCGAAAGCGUGGGGAGCGAACAGGAUUAGAUACCCUGGUAGUCCACGCCGUAAACGAUGAGUGCUAGGUGUUGGAUCCUUUCCGGGAUUCAGUGCCGCAGCUAACGCAUUAAGCACUCCGCCUGGGGAGUACGACCGCAAGGUUGAAACUCAAAGGAAUUGACGGGGGCCCGCACAAGCGGUGGAGCAUGUGGUUUAAUUCGAAGCAACGCGAAGAACCUUACCAGGUCUUGACAUCCCGAUGCUAUUUCUAGAGAUAGAAAGUUACUUCGGUACAUCGGUGACAGGUGGUGCAUGGUUGUCGUCAGCUCGUGUCGUGAGAUGUUGGGUUAAGUCCCGCAACGAGCGCAACCCCUAUUGUUAGUUGCCAUCAUUCAGUUGGGCACUCUAGCGAGACUGCCGGUAAUAAACCGGAGGAAGGUGGGGAUGACGUCAAAUCAUCAUGCCCCUUAUGACCUGGGCUACACACGUGCUACAAUGGUUGGUACAACGAGUUGCGAGUCGGUGACGGCGAGCUAAUCUCUUAAAGCCAAUCUCAGUUCGGAUUGUAGGCUGCAACUCGCCUACAUGAAGUCGGAAUCGCUAGUAAUCGCGGAUCAGCACGCCGCGGUGAAUACGUUCCCGGGCCUUGUACACACCGCCCGUCACACCACGAGAGUUUGUAACACCCGAAGUCGGUGAGGUAACCUUUUGGAGCCAGCCGCCUAAA